UUCCAUAUAAAUGUUUGGAUUGUUUGUUCUAGUUCUGUGAAAAAUGUCAUGGGUAAUUUGAUAGGGAUUGCAUUGAAUCUGUAGAUUGCUUUGGGUAGUAUGGCCAUUUUCACAAUAUUGAUUUUUCCAAUCCAGGAACAUGGAAUAUCUUUCCAUUUCUUUACAUCUUCUUUGAUUUCUUUGAUUAAAGUUUUAUAGUUCUCGGCAUAUAGGUCCUUUACCUCUUUGGUCAGGUGUAUUCCGAGGUAUUUGAUUUUGUGAGGUACAAUUUUAAAAGGUAUCAUAUUUUUGUAUUCCUUUUCUACUAUUUCAUUGCUGGUAUACAGAAAUGCAACUGACUUCUGAAUGUUAAUCCUAUAUCCUGCUACUUUGCUGAAUUUAUUAAUCAGUUCAAGCAGUUUUGGGGGUAGAGUCCUUACUUUUUUCUAUGUAUAGCAUCAUGUCAUCUGCAUACAGUGACAGUUUUACCUCUUCUCUUCCUAUAUGGAUGCCCUUUUAUUUCUUUUGUUUGUCUAAUUGCUGUGGCUAGGACUUCCAAAACGAUGUUGAAGAGCAGUGGUGAGAUGGGCAUCCCUGUCUUGUUCCAGAUUUGAGUGAGAAGGCUUUCAGUUUUUCCCCAUUGAGGAUUAUAUUUGCUGUGGGUUUAUCAUAAAUGGCUUUGAUUAUAUUCAGGAAUGUUCCCUCUAUACCCACUUUGGCGAGGGUCUUGAUCAUGAAUGGAUGUUGAACUUUGUCAAAUGCUUUUUCUGCGUCUAUUGAGAUGAUCAUAUGAUUUUUGACUUUUUUUUUGUUAAUGUGGUGUAUGAUGCUGAUUGAUUUGCGUAUGUUGAACCAUCCUUGUGAACCUGGGAUGAACCCAACCUGGUCAUGGUGUAUAAUUUUUUUGAUAUGUUGUUGGAUUCGGUUGGCUAAGAUUUUGUUGAGAAUUUUUGCAUCUAUAUUCAUCAAUGAUAUUGGGCGAUAGUUUUCUUUUUUGGUGGUAUCUCUGUCUGGUUUUGGAAUGAGGGUGAUGGUGGCCUCAUAGAAUGUCUUUGGGAGUAUUCCUUCUUCUUCAACCUUUUGAAAGAGUUUAAGGAGGAUGGGCACCAAUUCCUCUUUAUAUGUUUGAUAGAAUUCACCUGUGAAGCCAUCUGGUCCUGGACUUUUAUUUGUAGGGAGUGAUUUUAUGACCUCUUCAAUUUCAUUUCUAGUGAUCGGUCUGUUCAGUUGGUCUGUUUCUGCUUGAUUCAGUUUUGGCAGGCUGUAAGAUUCUAGAAAAUUGUCCAUUUCUUCCAGAUUGUCAAACUUGUUGCCAUAUAGUUGUUCAUAGUAU
This 1312-nucleotide long non-coding RNA is filed under the name Sus scrofa (pig). RNAcentral's name for it is "lncRNA (ENSSSCG00065005200.1)". Lineage: Eukaryota; Metazoa; Chordata; Mammalia; Artiodactyla; Suidae. The record is from RNAcentral.